This 253-nucleotide ribosomal RNA is filed under the name uncultured bacterium. RNAcentral describes it as "partial 16S ribosomal RNA". It matches the Rfam family "Bacterial small subunit ribosomal RNA", at positions 524 to 776 of the family's 1533-position model. The record is from RNAcentral.
UACGUAGGGCGCAAGCGUUUUCCGGAAUUAUUGGGCGUAAAGAGCUCGUAGGCGGCUUGUCAAGUCGGGUGUGAAAGCCCGGGGCUUAACCCCGGGUCUGCAUUCGAUACGGGCUAGCUAGAGUGUGGUAGGGGAGAUCGGAAUUCCUGGUGUAGCGGUGAAAUGCGCAGAUAUCAGGAGGAACACCGGUGGCGAAGGCGGGUCUCUGGGCCGAUACUGACGCUGAGGAGCGAAAGCGUGGGGAGCGAACAGG